RNAcentral lists this ribosomal RNA (497 nucleotides) under uncultured bacterium. Its description in RNAcentral is "partial 16S ribosomal RNA". It matches the Rfam family "Bacterial small subunit ribosomal RNA", at positions 28 to 507 of the family's 1533-position model. The record is from RNAcentral.
GAUGAACGCUGGCGGCGUGCCUAAUACAUGCAAGUCGAGCGAACAGACGAGGAGCUUGCUCCUCUGACGUUAGCGGCGGACGGGUGAGUAACACGUGGAUAACCUACCUAUAAGACUGGGAUUACUUCGGGAAACCGGAGCUAAUACCGGAUAAUAUAUUGAACCGCAUGGUUCAAUAGUGAAAGACGGUUUUGCUGUCACUUAUAGAUGGAUCCGCGCCGCAUUAGCUAGUUGGUAAGGUAACGGCUUACCAAGGCAACGAUGCGUAGCCGACCUGAGAGGGUGAUCGGCCACACGGGAAGUGAGACACGGUCCAGAGUACUACGGGAGGCAGCAGUAGGGAAUCUUCCGCAAUGGGCGAAAGCCUGACGGAGCAACGCCGCGUGAGUUAUGAAGGUCUUCGGAUCGUAAAACUCUGUUAUGAGGGAAGAACAAAUGUGUAAGUAACUAUGCACGUCUUGACGGUACCUAAUCAGAAAGCCACGGCUAACUACGUG